ACGGGUGAGUAACGCGUGGGAAUCUACCCAUCUCUACGGAAUAACUCAGGGAAACUUGUGCUAAUACCGUAUACGCCCUUCGGGGGAAAGAUUUAUCGGAGAUGGAUGAGCCCGCGUUGGAUUAGCUAGUUGGUGGGGUAAUGGCCUACCAAGGCGACGAUCCAUAGCUGGUCUGAGAGGAUGAUCAGCCACACUGGGACUGAGACACGGCCCACACUCCUACGGGAGGCAGCAGUGGGGAAUAUUGGACAAUGGGCGCAAGCCUGAUCCAGCCAUGCCGCGUGAGUGAUGAAGGCCUAGGGUUGUUAAGCUCUUUCAACGGUGAAGAUAAUGACGGUAACCGUAGAAGAAGCCCCGGCUAACUUCGUGCCAGCAGCCGCGGUAAUACGAAGGGGGCUAGCGUUGUUCGGAUUUACUGGGCGUAAAGCGCACGUAGGCGGAUAUUUAAGUUAGGGGUGAAAUCCCAGAGCUCAACUCUGGAACUGCCUCUAAUACUGGGUAUCUAGAGUUCGAGAGAGGUGAGUGGAAUUCCGAGUGUAGAGGUGAAAUUCGUAGA
Molecule: ribosomal RNA, 556 nt
Filed under: Phyllobacteriaceae bacterium HRRP120
Lineage: Bacteria; Pseudomonadati; Pseudomonadota; Alphaproteobacteria; Hyphomicrobiales; Phyllobacteriaceae
Also listed under: 1 other name
Description: bacterial SSU rRNA
Rfam family: Bacterial small subunit ribosomal RNA
Source: RNAcentral